AUACGGAAGAUGCGAGCGUUAUCCGGAUUUAUUGGGUUUAAAGGGAGCGUAGGCGGAAGGUUAAGUCUGCGGUAAAAUGGCCGUGCUCAACGCGGUCCUGCCGUGGAUACUGGUCUUCUUGAAUGUGCACAAGGAAGGUGGAAUUCGUGGUGUAGCGGUGAAAUGCUUAGAUAUCGCGAAGAACCCCGAUUGCGAAGGCAUCCUUCUGGGGCAUGAUUGACGCUGAGGCUCGAAAGCGCGGGUAUCAAACAGGAUUAGAUACCCUGGUAGUCCGCGCCGUAAACGAUGAAUACCCGUCGUUGGCGAUACACAGUCAGCGACCAAGCGAAAGCAUUAAGUAUUCCACCUGGGGAGUACGCCGGCAACGGUGAAACUCAAAGGAAUUGACGGGG
This 392-nucleotide ribosomal RNA is filed under the name uncultured bacterium. Its description in RNAcentral is "partial 16S ribosomal RNA". It matches the Rfam family "Bacterial small subunit ribosomal RNA", at positions 523 to 918 of the family's 1533-position model. The record is from RNAcentral.